CAGGGAUGAAAGGGCGCAGGGGUGGUGCGUAGUGCAGGGAUGCAGGGUGAAAGGGUGUAGAGAGGUUAGAAUGCAUGUUUAGUGAUUGAAGGAAAAUGGAGGUGGAGUCAAUGGUGAGCACAAAAAUUCUCAAUAAUCAAAAUAUUAAACUUUUUAAACCACUUAUUAAUUAGGGGUAUUUUACGAAAUUAGAGGUGCAGAGUGAAAUGCUUGAAGGUGUAGGGUGAAACACUCUUAAAAAAUAAAGGUCAUUCACUUCAUCAUAUGGGUUUGAAUGUUGCUCCUCCACCACCACCAAAUGCUUCCUGCACCACCCCAUACCCAAUUUGCCCUUGCUAUAAAACGAAUGUCAACAUCCAUUUCACCUUACAUAUUUUAUCCUUUUUUUUAUAUUUUGGUUUAUUGUUUUUAUUUUAGAUUUUAUUUUAAUAAUAUUUUUUAUUUACGUAAUAUAUUAUAA
Molecule: long non-coding RNA, 460 nt
Filed under: Vigna radiata
Lineage: Eukaryota; Viridiplantae; Streptophyta; Magnoliopsida; Fabales; Fabaceae
Description: long non-coding RNA (VRAD_LNC013447)
Source: RNAcentral